RNAcentral lists this ribosomal RNA (343 nucleotides) under Ixodes brunneus. Its description in RNAcentral is "partial 16S ribosomal RNA". The record is from RNAcentral. Lineage: Eukaryota; Metazoa; Arthropoda; Arachnida; Ixodida; Ixodidae.
GGUAUUGAAAUAAGAUUUUAAAUGAGUGCUAAGAGAAUGGUAUAACAAUUAAUAACUUUCUUUAUUUUAAAAAUUAAAUUUAAUUUUUUUGUGAGGAAGCAAAAAUAAAAAUUAGGGACAAGAAGACCCUAUGAAUUUUAAAUUAAUAUGAAAUUAAUAAUUAGUAUUUAUAUUAAUUUUGUUGGGGCGACAGGAAAAGAAUAAUUAUCUUUUAAUAAUAAAUUAAUUUUGAUCCAUUAUUUAAUGAUUUAAUGAAAAAAAUACUCUAGGGAUAACAGCGUAAUAAUUUUGGAUAGUUCUUAUAGAUAAAAUAGUUUGCGACCUCGAUGUUGGAUUAGGAUUC